GAAGAAAUGUAAUUCGUGGAAUUGAACAUUGAUAUAUUGAUGAAUAUUGUGAAUACAAUCUAUAGUAUUUACUACUUUGAUGCUUUCUCUCGAAUACAAGAUAAAAAUUUUAGAACUUCUUGGUCUUCGGUCUUUAGAAUGUUGUCGUUGCAAAUUGAUUUGAGCUUCAAUCUUUUGGAAUCCAAGGAAAGUUUAAUCUUCCAAAUCUUCAAUUUUUCAGAAGAUGUUGAUCUCGAGGUUGAUAUGAACUUGCACGUCUAGAAAGCUCGAAGUUUGAAUCUUCAAUUCUUUAGAGUUUCAGUACUUGAGAGCUUCAAUUCUUC
This 323-nucleotide long non-coding RNA is filed under the name Cucumis sativus (cucumber). RNAcentral describes it as "long non-coding RNA (CSAT_LNC002692)". Lineage: Eukaryota; Viridiplantae; Streptophyta; Magnoliopsida; Cucurbitales; Cucurbitaceae. The record is from RNAcentral.